RNAcentral lists this non-coding RNA (19 nucleotides) under Mus musculus (house mouse). Lineage: Eukaryota; Metazoa; Chordata; Mammalia; Rodentia; Muridae. The record is from RNAcentral.
UAAGCAGGUGAAUCAGAUU